This 3495-nucleotide long non-coding RNA is filed under the name Homo sapiens (human). RNAcentral's name for it is "HSALNT0306134". The record is from RNAcentral. Lineage: Eukaryota; Metazoa; Chordata; Mammalia; Primates; Hominidae.
ACUUUGUCACGCCCUGUUCACUGUAGUUGACAGUUCACUGCUCUCAUCAGGCCUAGAUGUACCACAAGACAUCUCACUGAAUCAUCUGACUUCCAGAUUCAUUCUUCCUCCUGCUGCUGUGCAUAUGCAACCUUACUUUCUCAUUAUAAUUAGGGUCAGCUAUCCCCAUGAAUAUAGUAGCUAUUUUAGUUGCCCUCUUGUACACAUCAUGAGUAUCCAUAGUUACCAUGCAGUGGUCACAGCUUUGAGUUCAUGAUACUUACUAAUCCCUGUUAGAAGCAGAACUCUCCCGUAUCCCAAGAAUAAGAAUAUCUAAUUCAGCAGAGCCAAAGUUGCAAAACCCAGAAGCAUACAUGCUGCAGAUAGGUUACUACGGGGGCUACUCUUACUCCUACCUUUUGGUCCUUAGACCCACAUAUUCCACCUACUGGAGACACCAUGUCAUGUAACAUCAUGUAUCAAUGGUGUGCCAUGCAUUGAUUCAGUGAAUAUACUGCAACUUGGAAUAUUGAACCCCCAAAAAACAGGAUCCUGUCUCCAAACUACUACCUAAGCAGACACUUUAAGAGGCCACUUCAUUAUUAGAUCAGGUUGAUUUCUUCCAAGUGAUGUGACAUUUAGUAAGAACGGCAGAUCUUAAGAUCACGUGCCUGGUGUUUCAUUUCCCUCAUUUCCUUGAUUUCAGGCAAGAUCAUGAAUCACCCCACAUUGCUAAUUCAGCAUUCUUAAAGAUCUGGAAUGGUAGGGCAGGCAGAGACACCAUAAUCAGAGAAAGCAAACCCAUAGAAUGAAUCACUGUUCCCCCAAGGAUGGAAGGGGUCUGAUGUUGUCAGUUUGCUGUCAAACACCUGGUUUGUCCUGAAGGGGUCAGUAUCUGCCUCUGCUGCUGGAAGAUCAUGUAAUCAGUGGUAGGUAGCCUUGGGGAGAAAAAGCCAUGAUGUUGAGUGUGUGCAGCAUCUCCAUCUCUGCCACAUGGCCACUCCACUCAUGGGCCUAUUGUGCAUGUUGUAAGUGACUAAAGAGAGGCUAAAGAACUUCAACUGACCAGUCAUCUGGUACAUUGGCUUACCCUCUGGUAGAUGUAGACAAGGAUCUGCAUGCUCUGGAUACAUUCUUAUGAAUCUUCUAACAUUUCCCAGGCUUCUUGUUUCUAAUCUUUCAGACUGUCUCCUUCCAGGCCUCUAAAGAGCAGGAAAAGUCACCUUCCAUUGCCUGGAAAUCAGUCUAUAUUCUAACCUCAGGCUACCCUCCUCUCAAGAUGGCUGCUUGCCUCUCUGUCCUGUGGGAGGAUUUCUCUUCACCACAGUCCUAUAAGAUGACUGGGUGGGUCUACGGUGAAGCUGCAGUCUUUUUUUUUUUUUUUUUUUUUUUUUUUUUUUUUUUUGUGCUCACCAACAUACUGAGCUAACCCAUCCAUGAAUCAGGCUUGAGGUUUUUUUUCAUCAUUCAUCAGCUGGCUUCAAGCAUCUCCAUGAAGCCCUAGGGGUGAACUCAGGGAGAGGCACCAGUGUUAACAGUGACAAGAAAAAUGGGAAUUUGAGCCAUCUGUUCAUGGAACUUUCUUAAUCCCUCUAGACCUGUUUAGGCCAAAUUCUGAAUAUAGCAUUUCAAUCCAUGGAUUGUUGUCCACUCUAUGAUUCAGUGAAUUCAAAAAUACCCAGGUCAUCAUGAGAAGCUGAAGCCAUAGAGUUGUCUGAUGUCAUAUAAUUAGAUAUUCCUUCUCUAUUCUGACCCAGCAAUAGGCCAGAAGCUACUUUUCAAAUGGGAAGGAUAUUUUUGCUGUGGAAGGUAAGGCCUUCCUCCAGAACCUUAAAGACUUUCAUUGUGAGGCUGUUAGUAUAACCUACCACACACUCCACAGUAAUAUUAUAUUUCACUUUCUCACUAAAUUUUCUGAAUCAUAUUCCCAAGAGUCAAGGAGCUCACAUGACAGCCUGGACCUGCUGCAGGCAUUGGUAGUUAUGAAUAGCCACCCUGGUAUAUGAAUGACAUUCAGAAAUACUCCUAUUGUCCAAUCUACUAACUUAUCUAGUAAUGACAGUCCCGGGCUUGUGGUCAUAUCACCCUAUGAGAAUAUCUGAGUGAGGCCCAGAUUCCUGAUUGUCUGCAAACAGUGGCAGUUUUAAACCACUAAAUAUUGGGCCGGUUUGUUACAGAGCAAUAGCUAAUUGAUACAAGUAAUAUGUCUACAAAUACAGUAGUUUGAUUUUUACAAGAAAUGGUGACAUAUUUGAAAGUCAAGUUCAACCGGUAUUAACGGACCUUGGAAAAAAGAUAAUGAGACCACAGUUCUUGGUGUCAGCUUCUAAUAAUUAAUUACCAAGCACUAGCUCCAUAGAGGCUUGUAGAGAACAUGCAGGUGGUGCCAUUUCAUCUGGUCAUGUAGCUUUUCUGUUACUCAGAUUGUUUACAGAAAUAGCUGCCUAACAAAGUUAACUUCUAGGAAGGAUGCCAGGUUACACGGAAUCAUACCAGAGUCUUAGAAUCACAUUGGGCUUUCACCCAAAGUUUUUGCAACAUUAGGUGGAGGCAAUAUAAUUUGGCUUGAAAAGUUACAAGGGAAAAAAAUGUCAGAAAAUGCUCAUGGAACAGGGUGUUCAGAGUCUUCAAGAUAGGAUCUUUCUUGGCCUCCUGAAAAUCAGAGAAAAUUGUAUAUCUGUGAUUUUUUUUUUUUUUUAAUAGAACGACCCAACAGAAUCCAGGGUUGUCACAGAUCAUUAUUAGGCCAACAACUGUAGAAGUUCUAACCCCAAAAUUGAGCUGUAAGACAUAGGAGCAGAUAGAGCUACAGUUGGAAAAUCUAAACAUAGUCUAAAAGUUUUGGCGCUUCAAGAGCUUCUGGGGGAAAGAAAAGAAAUUUGAUUUCUGUGUUGCUGAUGGAAAAGCUCAAAAAUUACCUGAGAAAAUUGUAUUUGACAUAUUUUUAUUGCAAAUGGUAUUUUGCUAUUUGUUUCUAAAAGUUGAAAAUGACCUUGCACGUUAAAAAUCAUCAGUUUAGAAAAAAUAUGAAGUCUGUUUGCAUUUGGAAUUAAGUAUUCCAAUAAUUUCUUAAAUUUAAAAACUACACAUAGAAAGUGUUAUUAUUAUUUUGGAGAGUUUUCGUAGGAUAUUCCAGGCCAAUGAUACUUAUCUGGCUCUUACCUGAAAGUGGCAUAUGUCACGUCUGUCUUCAUUUCAUGGGACUAAGGAAGUCACAGAGCCAACAAAGCACAAAUGCAUAAUCCCUCCAUAUGUACAGUGACGACAGGAAGAAACACUAGUUGGCAUGGUAAAGAAUUGUAGACCCUACCACAGUCCCUACACAACUAAAUAUUCAGAUCACCUGCUCAAUCUAAAUAAAGGUUUGCCAUAGUUGUUGUUGCUGUUGUUUAAAUGAGGCAAACUUUGAUAAAGCCAUUCCAGAGAUAAAAGCACAUUUAACAUAAUUUAUUGAGUACUUGUAAUUGAUGGUAACAUAAUGACUGAUUUAAAAGAACCAUUCAGCUCCUUUGAUAA